UUAGGAAUAUUGGGCAAUGGAGGGAACUCUGACCCAGCAACGCCGCGUGAAGGAAGAAGGUUUUCGGAUUGUAAACUUCUGAUCUGUGGAAAAAAGAAAGUGAUGGUACCACAGGAGCAAGCCACGGCUAACUACGUGCCAGCAGCCGCGGUAAUACGUAGGUGGCGAGCGUUGUCCGGAAUGACUGGGCGUAAAGGGAGCGUAGGUGGUUGUUUAAGUUAAAUGUGAAAGACCGUGGCUCAACUACGGAACUGCAUUUAAUACUGGACGACUAGAGUACAGGAGGGGUAAUUGGAAUUCCUAGUGUAGCGGUUAAAUGCGUAGAUAUUAGGAGGAACACCAGAGGCGAAGGCGGAUUACUGGACUGCAACUGACACUGAGGCUCGAAAGCGUGGGGAUCAAACAGG
This 407-nucleotide ribosomal RNA is filed under the name uncultured bacterium. RNAcentral's name for it is "bacterial SSU rRNA". It matches the Rfam family "Bacterial small subunit ribosomal RNA", at positions 355 to 776 of the family's 1533-position model. The record is from RNAcentral.